This 5004-nucleotide unclassified non-coding RNA is filed under the name Hevea brasiliensis (rubber tree). Lineage: Eukaryota; Viridiplantae; Streptophyta; Magnoliopsida; Malpighiales; Euphorbiaceae. The record is from RNAcentral.
UCUCGAUCGUUUCAUCGUCCUCCUCGUCUUCUCUUCUCGGCCUCUUACCAUGGCCGAGUCUACAUAGCCAUCUUCUUUGCUCUUCAACUAAAAAGCUUCUCUAAAAAUGCGCUCUAAGGACAGAAUUUCUUACUUCUACGACGGGGAUGUGGGUAGCGUUUACUUUGGGCCGAACCAUCCAAUGAAGCCUCACCGGCUUUGUAUGACUCACCAUCUUGUUCUCUCCUACGAGCUCCAUAAGAAGAUGGAGAUUUACCGGCCUCACAAGGCAUAUCCUGUUGAGCUUGCACAGUUCCAUUCAGCUGACUAUGUUGAAUUUUUACACCGGAUUUCCCCAGAUACUCAACACCUGUUUGCAAAUGAAUUGGCAAGAUAUAAUCUUGGAGAAGAUUGUCCUGUCUUUGAAAAUCUAUUCGAAUUUUGUCAAAUUUAUGCUGGUGGAACAAUAGAUGCUGCACGUAGAUUAAACAAUCAACUAUGUGACAUUGCUAUAAAUUGGGCUGGUGGUUUACACCAUGCCAAGAAGUGUGAGGCAUCUGGAUUUUGUUACAUCAACGACUUAGUUUUGGGAAUUUUGGAGCUUCUGAAAUAUCAUGCACGUGUUUUAUACAUUGAUAUAGACGUACAUCAUGGUGAUGGUGUUGAAGAGGCCUUUUAUUUCACUGACAGGGUGAUGACUGUGAGUUUUCACAAGUACGGGGAUUUGUUCUUUCCUGGAACUGGAGAUGUUAAGGUGAUCGUUUAAUGCUUUGUAAUUAUAUUAAUUAUUGGAAAAAGUCAUUGUGACAGACUGACAGGUGUUAAUCUGUGGUUUCUGCAGUUUAAGCUAGAACUGGUGACCUGCUUAAUUUGUGUUUAUGAUGGUAGGAUUGGAAUAGACUAUAGGAAGAAGUCAUUGUGUCUAGAGAUAUAUAUAUAUUUUUUUUUAUUUGUUUGUUUUGAGCCUAUUUGUAAUAUAACUAUUUUAUGCGUUAUAGGGUUCUAGAAUAUAUAAUAAAUACCUUGUUAUUGGUGAGACUUGUUAGGAACUUAAAAAUGUUUGGAACUGAAAAUCUGAUUCUUAUUUAUUGCCUGUUCUUUUCAUGUUAAACUUGGGGCAAAAUGUUGAUAUGGUUUGUAUUGAAGGAUGUAGGAGAAAGAGAAGGAAAGUUUUAUGCUAUAAAUGUUCCCCUGAAGGAUGGAAUAGAUGACACCAGCUUCACCCGGCUUUUUAAAACUAUUAUUUCCAAGGUGGUGGAAACAUAUCUGCCAGGUGUGAUAGUUCUUCAGUGUGGAGCAGAUUCUUUAGCUAGAGACCGCUUGGGCUGUUUCAACCUCUCUAUUGAUGGUGCAUAUCUACUCGUAAUUGAAGCACACUCUUUUUCUUCCCUUCCAGGAGUUGUCCAACCAUGCAGCAAUUUUUACUUGUCCUUUGUUCUUCUGUUGAUGAUACUGAGUUUGAUCUAGAUUAUAUAGCCUAGUUUCAAGAGUGAAGUUUUGUUGUGUUGCUAUUGUGAUAUUUCUUGCAGGGCAUGCUGAAUGUGUUAGGUUUGUGAAGAAAUUCAAUUUGCCUUUGCUGGUUACUGGAGGUGGUGGAUACACAAAAGAGAAUGUUGCUCGAUGUUGGACUGUUGAAACAGGAGUUCUUUUAGAUACAGAACUACCCAAGGAGAUCCCAGAUAACGAGUAUAUCAAAUAUUUUGCCCCUGAGUAUUCAUUGAAGAUUCCAGGUGGACAAAUAGAGAAUUUAAAUAGCAAAUCUUACAUUAGCACGAUCAAAAUGCAAGUUCUGGAAAAUCUUCGUUGCAUACAACAUGCUCCAGGUGUACAAAUGCAGGAGGUUCCACCCGACUUUUACAUUCCUGAUUUUGAUGAAGAUGAGCAAAACCCGGAUGAACGCAUGGAUCGUAAGUGAUUUUCAAAACUAUCCAAAGAUGACCAUACCAUGAUAUUUCAUAUUGUUGCCGCACACUUGCACACUUUUUGAGCCCUUGAAUUUUCCUCAAAUUUCUCAUUACCAAGUGACCAUAAAUUGUCGUUUCAGAGCAUACUCAAGACAAGCAUAUCCAGCGAGACGAUGAAUAUUAUGGAGGGGACAAUGACAAUGAUCAUAACAUGGAUGGUCCGUGAAGUGAACCCUUUUUUAUUUUUUGCCUUUAAUAGGAGUAGCAUUUAACAUGCAAAGUGUAACUAGAUUCUAAUUUACUGCCACACCUGAUAUACUUGUUGUGUCCUUAUUUCUUUCAAAUUACAUUCAAUUGUUUUCAUUGGCAUCGUAUCAUCUACCUGGUGUAGAUUUGCGUAAAAAGCCAUGAAUUUAAAAGAAGUAAAAAGAUGGUCUUGUUUGUGAAAUAUAAGAUUAAAGGUAUCUUAUAUAGAGAAUCAACAACCAUUUUCUCAUACAGUCAUGUUGCACAUUUGCUCAUCCCCCAUCACAAUGGUAGCCGCACAGCACUGUUGCAGUUGGUGAAGAUACAAGGGAAAAGAAAGAAACUUUUGAGAGCCUGGCUGGGCAUUUGACAUUGUCGUAUGAUGUUGGGGUUUGCAUUUCUAUUUUUUGAGUUACUGAUUCAAUGGUUGUGCAUAGCUACUUUGGGAGAUUAUGUAGAGCAUAUGCUCCCUCUCUCAAUCACUUUGAUUGGGUGAGGCAAGUCCUCAACCACUUUGAUUAGGAUAACAACUUUUUCUUUCUUCGGAUGAAAAAGCUUGAAUGUCACAGGAAGUGCAUACCCAAUUUGUAUUCUGUGAUCUGAGAUUGCUGAGAAAGCUGUGAAGCUUGCUGAGAGGCGAAUAUCUAGAGACAAGUGGCCAGCAUAUUAUGAUACUAAGAAAGCAAGUUUUAUUGGAAAACAGGCUCCUCGGCUAUUUUACACCUGGUAAAUUGCAGGUUAUGUUGUUGCAAAGCUCCUUCUCGACAAUCCAAGUGCAGCAAAGAUCCUUGUAAAUAAAGAGGAUUCAAAGCUUCUGAAUACGUUGUAGAUGAAGUAGCUGCACCUCCCUUUGAGAAGUGAACAGCAUUGGUGCUAGAAACAUGAAUUGGUUAAUCAACUAUAUGAAAUGCCAAUGUUUCGUUUAUAUGAUCUGUUUCAUUUUCUGUUCUCAACUAUGAAAUAGUAUGGUUCUAAAUAUAAAAUACAGAUCAAUAACAUGGAUAUCACACAUGCUUAUUGCUACCUCAAAUUUAUCAGACAAAACAAUAAUCAAUUCCAAUAUCAAGAUAAUAAUUCAAGGUAACAAGGGAUGGCAAAAGCUCUAUAAUGAGGCAGUUGAUCAUCGAGCAUGAUCAUAACAGAUUACAUGUAAGUUCUUCAUUACAUUAAUACAAGGAUUGGAAGAAAAGCAAAAGGUAGGCUUAACCUGAAUUCAACCAGGAUUUAUGAACUUAUAAUGUCACUGUUUGCCGCCAAGAUGCUGUCCAAUAAUGAUUCACAAGCAUCUUCAAGUAGAUCCAAUACCUGUGAUAAUGAUAAAGCAUAACGCAAGGGAACGAAAACUGAAAUUUUUGUUAAUCUUUAAUCUCUUAAAUAAGUUAUCAAAUUAAAGCACAGAAACCUGGAAGGGUUGUGGUAACCCAAAGCCAUCUUGCAUUUGAGGACUAAUAGGCAGAGGCAGUAUAUCUAAAUGAACACUCUCUGAAGGGAUCUAAUGGAACUUCUAAAUUCUUAAGGAGACGCGACAUUUUAUUUGAAACAGUGAAGAAUAUAAAUUAAAGAAUGAACUGAUGCAAUCAAUGUACAGGAUGAAAUUCCAUUUAAACAAUGUCGAGCAAUGUGGGUGCUGGUAAAACCAUGAAGCAUCAUUUUAAAGCUUUUUACAAAUGAUGUACCUUUCACUGCAUGCAACUCGUGGAAUCUAAGGAUCCAUAAAGAAAAAUCCAGGUGAAAGGUUAUCCAUGUAAACUUCUACCAUUUUCACUUGAAAUAUUAACAUCUUACCUUCUCAAAACCCUGCGGUCCACCAUAGUAAGGAUCUGGGACUUCAGUCUCAUCAUGUUUCUUGCAGUAGGAGCACAUUAAUUUAACCUUCUCGUGUGCAUCAUCAGGUAGUGUCUCUUUAAAUUUCCACAUAUUAAAAGCCUCCAUUAUAUCCUCUCUGUUUUGCUUGUCCAUUGCAAGAAUGAUAUCGAAAUCCCUAAAAUCAGAGGGUCGUAUUGGCCUCGAUAUGGAUGUUAUCUGAAUCCCGCGCCUUUUAGAGGCUGCCCUCAUUCUUGGGUCUGCUGGAUUACCCUCGUGAUAACCAAUGGUGCCAGCAGAGUCAAUCUUGAACUUGGAGUCAAGGCCUCUCUUCUUGACAAUUUCUGUGAAAACACCCUCAGCAGCUGGGCUUCUACAAAUGUUACCUAAGCACACAAACAGAACAGAGAAGGGUUUGGUCUCUGAGUCGGUGGAGGAAGCCAUUGAUGAAGCUUUGAUCACCCAGGACCUCGAGGAAGUGACUCUGAUCGUGGUUAAUUUUUUGUGAUGAUGGGAAUUAAGAAAGCAGUUUUGGACAAGUGGGUAGCUAAUAAAUGGGAUUUUCAGAGAGAGGAGACCGAGUCUGGUGGUGAAGUGGCAAAGUUGUAAAUUUGGAGAUGGGGUUGGCAACCUUGUAUAAGCACCAUGCAAGGAUGAUGAUGAUGCUGCUCUCAUCAUCCCUUCUGUCAGGGUGGAGGUUUGGGGUUUUGGUUUGUGUUGUCGGAUUUGUCUAAAACUGGAAGUACAGCAUUCUUUCUGGGGGAACUUAACUGGUAACAGAAUGGAUAGGGUGGCAUGUGAGUCGGGUGCAAUUGAAAUCCCCACCCUCCGUUUUAUAUCAUCAAUUUUCACAUCAUAAAAUUAAGAGUUUAACCAAUGAAAGCUUAGAAGAGCUCUAUGAUACAUGUAAAGUCUGUUGUGUUUAAAAAAUAAAAAAAAGAGAGAGUGAUAGAAGCCUGCCCAGUGAGAAUGGGAUAAAAACCACCAAGGAGAAAAGAUGCUUAGUUCCAGGUCAGAGAGAGUGUUAAUUUUCCCUGUUAAGGUAUACUGCCGCCAAUUUUCAGAAUUACAU